This is a long non-coding RNA of Acanthochromis polyacanthus (spiny chromis), 646 nucleotides long. RefSeq lists it as uncharacterized. The record is from RefSeq and is a predicted model, not a curated record. The transcript has 2 exons. NCBI's taxonomy places the organism in Eukaryota, Metazoa, Chordata, Actinopteri, Pomacentridae.
CUGCCUUGCUGGCUACAGACCCCUUUUUAACCCUUGUGGGUUUUUUUUUUCUGAUGUCAUGCCAUGUCUUUUGAGCUCUGCCGUUGCCAUGUGUUUCUGUGUUGCUUUGUACCGGUUCUCUCUCACCCUCGUUAAUCAGGUCAGAGUGGCUUCAGCAGCAGCUGGAGCCACUCAGGUGAUUGGCCACGUAGCCUGGUCUGAGCAGCUGACUCCACUUCGUCAUCAUCUCACCCUGACAGUAAAAAGCCGGUCGUCACAUCCACUCUUCGCCGGAUUGUUGUUCAAACUACUCACAUCUCAGCUGCUCGGAACCCACGCACUGCCAUCCUGAAUCACCGCCAAGAGGAUACCACCGCCAGGACCAAGCCCAGAACCGCCGCUUGACCCACAGCCAAGAGAAUACCACAGCCAAGACCUAAGCCAGAGCCCCCGCUCAACCCACAGCCACAAGGAAACUACGGUCCGCAGUCAGAACCGCAGCCAAGACAAUACCACAGCCAAGACCAGGUCCCGAACCUCGGCCCGAUCCACCGCCAAUAGGAAUCCCAUCACAGAAACCCAGUCCAAGACCCAGGCCUGGAGGUCCAGCCUUCCAUCCCCAGAAUCAUCUUUCCUCCCUCACAAUAAAACCUAUAAUUCACCACCA